RNAcentral lists this ribosomal RNA (139 nucleotides) under Pseudomonas aeruginosa. RNAcentral's name for it is "partial 16S ribosomal RNA". The stretch from base 41 to 139 matches the Rfam family "Bacterial small subunit ribosomal RNA", at positions 1 to 98 of the family's 1533-position model. The record is from RNAcentral. Lineage: Bacteria; Pseudomonadati; Pseudomonadota; Gammaproteobacteria; Pseudomonadales; Pseudomonadaceae.
UGAGCCAAGUUUAGGGUUUUCUCAAAACCCAAGCAGUAUUGAACUGAAGAGUUUGAUCAUGGCUCAGAUUGAACGCUGGCGGCAGGCCUAACACAUGCAAGUCGAGCGGAUGAAGGGAGCUUGCUCCUGGAUUCAGCGG